Chlorocebus sabaeus (green monkey) is the source of this 1084-nucleotide non-coding RNA. The record is from RefSeq and is a predicted model, not a curated record. NCBI's taxonomy places the organism in Eukaryota, Metazoa, Chordata, Mammalia, Primates, Cercopithecidae.
UCGUGAUCCACCCGCCUCGGCCUCCCAAAGUGCUAGGAUUGCAGGCAUGAGCCACCGCGCCCGGCCAUCUCAGGUUUAACGGGGGCACUGCUGCCUCAGAUGCCGGAAAGUGGGUGGUGAGGUCCCUGUCCUCACUGGGGUCUGCAGCCAAGGACUGGCCACCGAAGCCCAGGACUGCCAUCCUGACCUCGGUGGCCACGGCCAGUCCCCCCGGGAGCCCCUAACACCUUGGGCCUGCCCCCAGCUCUCACGGCAGGAGAGGUUUUUUCCUACUCUGGUGGCCGACACCCUGGUGAAGGGAUUUGCAGAACGGGAGCACGUGGAUUUCCAGUUCUUCCCAGCAGGCACAGGCAGGCUGGUACUCUCUCCCUCCCCUUUGGGCAACACUCGGGUGCUGCUAGACCCUUGGCCCUGCUCACUGCGUGGGCCGUGCUCCACCCAUUCCCUCCCAGCAAGGGUGGUCCUGGGGCUCCCCUGACCUGAACUCUUCUGAGUUUGCUUCUCAGAACCAAGAGGGGCUGGCUCUGCGCCCUACCUACCUGUCCAGGGGUGGGAGCUGACCUUUGAAGCUAUCAAUCUGGGUUUUAAGUGUGGAUUCAUUAUUUACAACACCCUGACAUCAUGCUGACAUGAAUUAUUUGUAUGUUUUUCAAAUUGUGCUGUGAUAACCCUGGCUGUCUUCCUGCUCCCAUAGUGGAUAAAAGCAUCCUAAAGAAUGCCGCCAUCUCCCUUCUCCUCACAGCCUGGAGCUGGGCCAACCGGAGCUGAGCCACCACGGGUGCUCAGUGCAGCCUGGUUUGACCCUCACCCUCCUUCACCUGGCUGGGAUGUUCCCCCAAAGAACGGAAGGACUCUGGCCCCUUGAGGAACAGGGAAGCCUCUGCCUGGGUAGCCAUUGGCAGCUUGUAUGUAAGAAGCACCAGGAAACACCCUCCCCCAUGGACACUAAAGCAGGGGCCAUUCUGUCACAGAGCAGCCACCUCCAGAUGGCCGUGCACCUGCACACCUGCUGGCACACCCUGCCCGGAGCCAGGUGAGCUCCCUGUACCUGGAGAAGCCCGGGGCUUGCAUGGGUAGGCUGCAG